UGAAUCAUGAAUCUUAUCUUUUCAGUAGAAAGAAAGAACUGAAAAAUGUCUCGUUAAAUAAGUUUAAAAGGGAAGAAACUUGAUGUGUUGACACAGAAAGUCUGGAUUGUAUUUGUUUUUGUCUUUAUCACAUUUAUGUGAGCUCACAUUUUUCCCUUUAGAGGGAUUUUUAAUUCAGAUGUCAUCAUUUUGUAUCGGUUAUAAAAAUUCUAUUCAUAACAACAUACAGGCCGGUGUGUUUUAUUAAAGUCUAGACCUGCGCUGCUUUGAUACAUGAUCAGUAUCAGGACGAACUACAGCUGGACAUAAGUGAAAGACAAACAGACGUGUGUUUCUUCGGUGACCGGAUGAGCCAGGUCCGCCCACCUCCUUCAGACUUUCACCGUUCGGCAAGGACUUCAGAAACUGAUUAACAGAACCUCCAGGAUGCUUCAUGUGAAAGACAGACAGGCCUUUAACUUUCAGUUUGGUGUCUUCACUGGUUUUGCCUGCUGUCAUCCUGAUCCCCUCAUGCAGAGGACAGUCGCAGGUGAUUUGUUCACCUCAGCCAAUCAUAGCCCUGG
This is a long non-coding RNA of Lates calcarifer (barramundi perch), 563 nucleotides long. RefSeq lists it as uncharacterized. Lineage: Eukaryota; Metazoa; Chordata; Actinopteri; Centropomidae. The record is from RefSeq and is a predicted model, not a curated record. The transcript has 3 exons.